This 459-nucleotide ribosomal RNA is filed under the name uncultured bacterium. RNAcentral's name for it is "partial 16S ribosomal RNA". It matches the Rfam family "Bacterial small subunit ribosomal RNA", at positions 338 to 795 of the family's 1533-position model. The record is from RNAcentral.
CCUACGGGUGGCAGCAGUGAGGAAUAUUGGUCAAUGGGCGCGAGCCUGAACCAGCCAAGUCGCGUGAGGGAUGACGGCCCUAUGGGUUGUAAACUUCUUUUGUCGGGGAGUAAAGUGCCGCAUGUAUGCGGCUUGGCAUGUACCCGGUGAAUAAGCAUCGGCUAACUCCGUGCCAGCAGCCGCGGUAAUACGGAGGAUGCGAGCGUUAUCCGGAUUUAUUGGGUUUAAAGGGGGCGUAGGCGGACGCUUAAGUCAGCGGUAAAAUUGUGGGGCUCAACCUCGUCGAGCCGUUGAUACUGGGUGCCUUGAGUGGGCGAGAAGUACGCGGAAUGCGUGGUGUAGCGGUGAAAUGCAUAGAUAUCACGCAGAACUCCGAUUGCGAAGGCAGCGUACCGGCGCCCAACUGACGCUGAAGCACGAAGGCGUGGGUAUCGAACAGGAUUAGAUACCCUAGUAGUC